CUACGGGGCGCUCCAGUGAGGAAUAUUGCACAAUGGGGGGAACCCUGAUGCAGCAACGCCGCGUGGAGGAUGACGCAUUUCGGUGUGUAAACUCCUUUUAUAUGUCAAGAAAAUGACGGUAGCAUAUGAAUAAGCACCGGCUAACUCCGUGCCAGCAGCCGCGGUAAUACGGAGGGUGCAAGCGUUACUCGGAAUCACUGGGCGUAAAGGACGCGUAGGCGGGUUGGAAAGUCAGGUGUGAAAUCCUACAGCUUAACUGUAGAACUGCACUUGAAACUUAUAAUCUAGAGUAUGGGAGGGGGAGAUGGAAUUAGUGGUGUAGGGGUAAAAUCCGUAGAUAUCACUAGGAAUACCUAAAGCGAAGGCGAUCUCCUGGAACAUUACUGACGCUAAGGCGUGAAAGCGUGGGGAGCAAACAGGAUUAGAUACCCGAGUAGUC
Molecule: ribosomal RNA, 439 nt
Filed under: uncultured bacterium
Lineage: Bacteria
Description: partial 16S ribosomal RNA
Rfam family: Bacterial small subunit ribosomal RNA
Source: RNAcentral